AAAGUCGUAACAAGGUUUCCGUAGGUGAACCUGCGGAAGGAUCAUUAAAGAGAUCAUGCCCUCACGGGUAGACCUCCCACCCUUUGUUUACAAUACCUUUGUUGCUUUGGCGGGCCCGUUUGGCCCCGCGCUGAACAACCGGCCCCGGCUGGUCAGUGCCCGCCAGAGAACCGAAAACUCUGAAUUAAAUGUCGUCUGAGUACUAUGUAAUAGUUAAAACUUUCAACAACGGAUCUCUUGGUUCUG
RNAcentral lists this unclassified non-coding RNA (246 nucleotides) under Ascomycota sp. Its description in RNAcentral is "partial contains small subunit ribosomal RNA, internal transcribed spacer 1, and 5.8S ribosomal RNA". The stretch from base 1 to 47 matches the Rfam family "Eukaryotic small subunit ribosomal RNA", at positions 1785 to 1831 of the family's 1831-position model. Lineage: Eukaryota; Fungi; Ascomycota. The record is from RNAcentral.